AUGGAACGUCGACAAUCUACGAAUAUUUUACAUUUAAAUGUAAGGAUGACCUUCACAGAAUAAGCGAAGGAGCCCAUGUUUCUUAGAACCAUUUCUUUUCUUUUUUUUUCUGCCCUUUUGCAAACCAAGGUCUGCACUCUUUUCCUCACAGGGGUACACCUAGCGGAGGUGAAGUUUUUAACGUGGCAGAACCUAUGUAAAAACCUCUAAGAUAUAAAGAGGACUUACCCUAGUAACGAAACUCAUAAGUCAAAAUAGCUAGCAACGAGGCUAUAAUAUUCGACCAAACACCACGCGAAAACAAGGACCCUCUGUAGCUUACAGCCAAAGGCUAGGAAUGCUCGGAACGUCCUCAGCGGUGAAAAAACACCAGUACCUUAGC
This 382-nucleotide long non-coding RNA is filed under the name Sorghum bicolor (sorghum). RNAcentral describes it as "long non-coding RNA (SBIC_LNC009272)". Lineage: Eukaryota; Viridiplantae; Streptophyta; Magnoliopsida; Poales; Poaceae. The record is from RNAcentral.